GAGAGACAUUUUGUAGGCUGGAAUGGGAAAUAUUGCUAUCAACUGUGGAGUUUCACUAUUUACAUAAAAAGUUAAUGAAAAUAUAGUUAAUGUUUUUUAAUUUAUUAUAUUGGCGAUUACAAUUUUGAUUUCGAUUUUGUAGAGUGCUGGUAAAUCAGCAGUUUUCAAUAGUUUAAUUGGACAUCGAGUUUUGUUUAUGAAGGACAACAAAUUAGGAUUCUUGGAUAUUCAAGCUCAGUCAACACUGUUAACCAUGAAAAAUAGGCAUGUCUUGGCAUGUGCGAUUGUUAAUUGUGAGAAACCAAAGUCUGGGUCAAAAUAUCAAUAUGCAGAGUUCAGAUCAGCAGGUUAAUUCUAAGUUAGGUGUCAUCAAUCGGGUCCAUAAGAUGUUUUAUUUGGCUGAGGGUCUGUUAGAAUGAUUGCUUGAGGGGAUUAUCAGUUGGCCGCACCUCUUUCGCUCUCCGGAUAGCGUAGCUUUGCGUAUGACUUCUAUUGCAUCAAAUAAUCUGUAACUCAAGGAUGAAUGUUUCUAUCCAUGUUUCGAGCAUGCUCUAAAACUAUGCUCCAGUAAUUAGGGAAGCCUUUUAUUUGUAGCAGCAAGGCAGUUUCCGACUGGUAUAUUCCAAGGAGAAUUAUCUUUCAUCAAAGUGAUGUCCCAAUUCUAACGCCUUGGUUCAGUCGCUGUAGGAUUUUCUGCUGCAUUGGUGAUUGAAUCAUUAAUUCGAUAGCUUCCUUUUCGGCUUCGAGUCUGAGGAAUGCUCAAUCCUUUUUCCGAUUGAGCUGUUGUUUCUUCGUCGUCUUCUCAAUCAGUCUUGGAUAUUUUCUCUAUAGCGCCUUGGUUCGGUCGCUGUAGGAUUUUCUGCUGCAUUGGUGAUUGAGUCAUUAAUUCGAUAGCUUCCUUUUCGGCUUCGGUUCUGAGGAAUGCUCGAUCCUUUUUCCGGUUGAGCUGUUGUUUCUUCGUCGUCUUCUCGAUCAGAUGCUGUACUUUCGAAUUUGCUUCAUAUGGCUAUGAAGGGACAGAUCCUUGUGGUGGUAGAGGAGUUGAUAAAAACAGAUCCAUCAACAAUAAACAUGGUUGAUAAUAAGGGCAAUACAACAUUGCAUAUAGCUACCAAGAAGGGUAGAACUCAGAUUAUUAAGUUGAUACUUGGACAGAGUGAAACAGAUGGCAUGGCAAUUAACAAGAGUGGCGAAACAACAUUAGACACAGCUGAGAAAACAGGAAACUCUGAAGUAAAAAGCAUUCUAACAGAACACGGUAUUCAAAGUGGAAAAUCGAUAACAAAAUCUCAACCAAAAACAGCUGCUAGAGAAUUUAAACAAACCGUAAGCGACAUACAGCAUGAAGUCCAUCACCAACUAGAACACACUUGCCAAACGCGAAAAAGCGUUCGAGGAAUCGCAAAACGCCUCAACAAUACUAUUGGACUUAAAAAAAGAAGUUGAUGAUGUAGCAACAAUCUUCACAUGACAAUCGACGCUUAGUCUCCCAGCUUCGAUGUCUCGAGCUAUGGCAUAAACAUAUCUUGGCUCUCUAUUAUUGCUCACUGCAACAAAGACAUAAGACAGGUAUCAUUUAGUGCUAUUA
Long non-coding RNA from Vicia villosa (hairy vetch), 1588 nucleotides. RefSeq lists it as uncharacterized. The record is from RefSeq and is a predicted model, not a curated record. The transcript is spliced from 6 exons. NCBI's taxonomy places the organism in Eukaryota, Viridiplantae, Streptophyta, Magnoliopsida, Fabales, Fabaceae.